This 497-nucleotide ribosomal RNA is filed under the name uncultured bacterium. RNAcentral describes it as "partial 16S ribosomal RNA". It matches the Rfam family "Bacterial small subunit ribosomal RNA", at positions 28 to 507 of the family's 1533-position model. The record is from RNAcentral.
GAUGAACGCUGGCGGCGUGCCUAAUACAUGCAAGUCGAGCGAACGGACGAGAAGCUUGCUUCUCUGAUGUUAGCGGCGGACGGGUGAGUAACACGUGGAUAACCUACCUAUAAGACUGGGAUAACUUCGGGAAACCGGAGCUAAUACCGGAUAAUAUUUUGAACCGCAUGGUUCAAAAGUGAAAGACGGUCUUGCUGUCACUUAUAGAUGGAUCCGCGCUGCAUUAGCUAGUUGGUAAGGUAACGGCUUACCAAGGCAACGAUGCAUAGCCGACCUGAGAGGGUGAUCGGCCACACUGGAACUGAGACACGGUCCAGACUCCUACGGGAGGCAGCAGUAGGGAAUCUUCCGCAAAGGGCGAAAGCCUGACGGAGCAACGCCGCGUGAGUGAUGAAGGUCUUCGGAUCGUAAAACUCUGUUAUUAGGGGAGAACAUAUGUGUAAGUAACUGUGCACAUCUUGACGGUACCUAAUCAGAAAGCCACGGCUAACUACGUG